UGUGACUUCACUAUGUACAGUGUUUCAUUCAUACUAGUUGAUCAUUUUCAGAUUGUUCAUACUUUUUCUUGAGGAAGAAUAAGCUUUUUCAAGUUGAUUUCGAGCUUACUUUUUAUAUUCUGAUCUGACAAAUGAAAAUGUAAAACCUGGGUUCAAUGUAUCUGAGCUGCUUUACAGUUUUUCACUGCUAUACUACUGUCUCCAGAUUUAAAUUCUAAUGCAGAGUACUUUUAUUGGUCUGAGGCACACAGACAUCCCGCUUAAGCAGACCUCAUCCAUAGCAGUGGCUGGAGCUGUGAUUGGAGCUGUCCUGGCCCUCUUCAUCAUCGCUGUCUUUGUGACUGUGUUGCUGACACCUCGGAAAAAGAGACCAUCCUAUCUUGACAAAGUAAUCGACCUUCCACCUACACAUAAGCCACCCCCUGUAUAUGAAGAACGAAUUCCUUCUCUCCCUCAGAAAAACCGUCUGUUCCAGGUAUGUGUUCCUGAAGACACUUAAAUCACCUGAACUAGCUUCUAAACGUCUGCCCAGCUGUGGCGGCGCACAUCUACCUGAGAGGCUGGAGCAGGACCAGAAGCUUAAAGUCGGCCUUGGCUACACAGUGAGUUCGAGGCCUGCCUGGGCUACUGGAAACCCCACUGCAAAAUUUGAAGUGAAUAAAUUUUUUAAAAAUCCUA
RNAcentral lists this long non-coding RNA (678 nucleotides) under Rattus norvegicus (Norway rat). RNAcentral's name for it is "long non-coding RNA NONRATT006978". Lineage: Eukaryota; Metazoa; Chordata; Mammalia; Rodentia; Muridae. The record is from RNAcentral.